AGGGAAUCUUCCGCAAUGGACGAAAGUCUGACGGAGCAACGCCGCGAGAGUGAAGAAGGCCUUCGGGUCGUAAAACUCUGUUGCCGGGGAAGAACAAGUGCCGUUCGAACAGGGCGGCGCCUUGACGGUACCCGGCCAGAAAGCCCCGGCUAACUACGUGCCAGCAGCCGCGGUAAUACGUAGGGGGCGAGCGUUGUCCGGAAUUAUUGGGCGUAAAGCGCGCGCAGGCGGUUUCUUAAGUCUGAUGUGAAAUCUUGCGGCCCAACCGCAAGCGGUCAUUGGAAACUGGGAGGCUUGAGUGCAGAAGAGGAGAGUGGAAUUCCACGUGUAGCGGUGAAAUGCGUAGAGAUGUGGAGGAACACCAGUGGCGAAGGCGGCUCUCUGGUCUGUAACUGACGCUGAGGCGCGAAAGCGUGGGGAGCAAAC
RNAcentral lists this ribosomal RNA (426 nucleotides) under uncultured bacterium. RNAcentral's name for it is "bacterial SSU rRNA". It matches the Rfam family "Bacterial small subunit ribosomal RNA", at positions 356 to 773 of the family's 1533-position model. The record is from RNAcentral.